UUUGCAUUUAAUUUUAGAGGAAAAUGAGUUAAGAAAAAAAAAAGAAAAGAAGAAAAUUUAUUUUGUUUACAUGAUUAAAAAAAAAAAGAUUUUAUGACAAUGACAAAAAGUAGAUUUACUUUUAGAACUCCCAACUCUCCUCGAACAUUUAAAAAAAAAAUUCCCUGAACAUUUUAUUAAAAAAAUUCCUGGAACUUACAACAACACACAAAGACUAAAACGACAUCGUUUCAUUUGUAACUGUUCAAAGGUCUUGGCUCACCGUUAGAUUCCGGAAGGAGCCUAGUCAAGGAGUCAUGAGCAGAAAAACCACCACAAUUCUCUGCAAUCACAGGCUUCAAUUUCUCUUCUCUCUCAACCCCGGAAAGUCCCAUAUCAAACAGGUUAGUUCUGUCUUCUCUGUUAAAUCCCAUUGCUUCAGCACUACUUCUCUCACGGACCCUUCACUAUCAUCAACUUCUACUGCUCACCAAACAAACAAAACCCACAUAGAUUUAUCUCCUAUAAAUUGCAAUGGUAUCGCACAAUUUCUUAUAUUUAAAUGUCCCCAGUUCUUUGAUAAGGGCAAAAGCGAAAGAGAGAAUUUUGCUAAGGUUGCUUCUCUCAAAGAACUUCUUGUGGAUAUUUCUGAUCUAAUACCCGAUGUGACACGUCGCUUUAGGAGAAUUUUGAUAUUGAAACCUGAAGAUGUGCUUGAAAUAUUACUGGGUUUUCAAUUGGAGUGUGAAAGAGUUGCAAUUGAGGGUUCAAAGGUUGAGUCUUUGUGGAGGCUUUUCAAAUGGGCAAGUGACCAAGAUAAGUGUUUUAAGCAUCUUCCGAAGUCAUAUGAAGUUAUGGCCUCGGUGCUUUUUCAGUAUGGGAUGCUUAGAGAGCUUCAGUUGCUGCUUUUGGCAAUGGAGAGGCAAGGAAUUUUGUUAGAUAACAAUGAAAUCUUCUCUAAGUUGAUUGAAGGGUAUGUUGGUGCUUGUGAUUUAGAAAGGGCGGUGCUGGUGUAUGAUCGACUUAGGGAGCAAGGUUUGGUGCCAUCGCUGUUCUGUUAUCAUGUUCUUAUUGAUCUUUUGGUGAGAAUGAGGAGAACCCAACUGGCAUUUCGAGUUUGUUUGGAUAUGUUUGAAACUGGGAUUAAUCUGAGUGACGGGGAAAUGGUUACGAUUGAUAAAGUCGUUAGAUUACUUUGUGGGGAUGGAAUGGUUCAAGAAGCAAGGAAUCUUUUGAAGAAGGUCAUGGCUUUGGGGUUUGAGCCUAGCAGCUCGGUUAUUAAUAACAUUGCUUCUGGUUAUUGUGAGAAGAAGGAUUUUGAAGAUUUGCUUAGCUUUUUUGUUGCAUUGAAACGUUCACCAAAUGUACUGGCUGGCAAUAAGAUAAUAAAUGGUUUAUGUACUAAUUUUGGUGUAGAGAGAGCAAAUUUAUUCAGGCUAGAAUUGGAGAAUUUAGGUUUUAUGCCAGAUGAGGUAACUCUUGGGAUAAUGAUUGGUUGGAGCUGUCGUGAGGGGAAUUUGAGGAGUGCCUUCAUUUAUUUGUCAGAAAUGUUAUCAACAGGCUUAGAGCCUGUUAUAUGGUCAUAUAAUGCGCUUAUUGGUGCAGUGUUUAGGGAGGGUAUGUGGAAGCAUGCUCAAGAUAUUCUUGUUGAAAUGGUAGACAGGGGAAUGACCCCAAAUUUGUCAACUUUUAGAACCCUUUUGGCAGGAUAUUGCAAAGCAAGACAAUUCGAUGAAGUGAAGAUGAUGGUCCACAAGAUGGUAGACCAUGGUUUAAUUGAACUCUCUUUGCUGGAUAACCCACUCUCCAAGGCAUUUAUGGUUUUGGGGCUCAAUCCAUUAUCUGUGAGGUUGAAAAGGGAUAAUGAUGUUGGGUUUUCUAAGACAGAAUUCUAUGAUAAUCUAGGAAAUGGACUGUAUUUGGAUGCUAACCUGAAUGAGUAUGAGAAAAGAGUAAAUGAAAUUCUUAAGGAUUCCAUGAUACCGGAUUUUAAUUUGCUUGUAAUGAAGGAAAGUGAUCAUGGAAAUUUUAAAGCCGCAUUGUUGUUGAUAGAUGAAAUGGUUCGAUGGGGUCAAGAACUAUCUCUGUCUGUCUUCUCUGCAUUAGUGAAGGGGCUUUCUGCAUCCCGAUCCCAUAUCAGGGCUUGCAGCCGUCUUAUUGAGAAAAUGCCAAUGUUGGCUAAGCAACUAGAUGAUGUAGUUCUUAAUUUGCUUGUCCGAGCAUACUGUAAGGGUGGAUUGACUUACAAAGGGAGGAUAUUUUUUGAUGAAAUGCUUCUGAGGGAUAUACCAAUUGAAAAUGGCACAUACACUGCUUUAUUGGUGGGACUAUGUAAGAGAGGAAAUUAUCAGGAUUUUCAUUAUUGCUGGGAGAUUGCCCGAAAUAGAAAAUGGUUGCCUGGGUUACAGGAUUCUAAAUCUCUUGUUGAAUGUCUAUUCCAUCGUAGGAUACUGAAGGAAGCGUUGGAGCUUCUUGAAAGCAUGAUGCUAUUUCAUCCUCACUUGAGGUCUGAAAUUUAUCAUAUGUUCCUUGAAAAGCUUUCCAUCACAGGCUUUACGAGCAUUGCACACAAGUUGGUGGAUGAACUGAUACAGCAGGGUUGUAUCUUUGAUGAUAUUGCUUAUAACCAUCUUAUAAGAGGGCUAUGCAAGGAGAGAAACUAUAGAGUGGCCUUCACGAUAUUAGAAACAAUGUUGGCUAGGAACUUAGUUCCAUGCUUGGAUGUUUCUCUUAUUUUGAUUCCGCAGUUGUGUAGGGCUGAUAAACUUGAUAAAGCGAUUGCUUUAAGAGAGAUUGUUUUGAGAGAGCAAUGUGCAUUUACGUUUUCCAUCCAUUGUGCUUUAGUUAAAGGAUUUUGUAUGACAGGGAAUGUUGGAGAAGCAGCCAAUGUAGUCCAGGAUAUGUUGUUGAAGGGGCUAUUUCCUGAUGCUGAAAUUUAUAACAUGCUAUUUCAAGGGUAUUGCCAAGCUAACAGCCUGAGGAACGUUAGGGAGCUACUUGGUGUUCUAAUUAGAAAAUUUUUAAGCCCCUCAAUCACAAGUUACCAGAAUUUGGUGCGCUUGAUGUGUAUGCAGGGUAGUUUCACUUCUGCAUUAAGCCUGAAGGAGCUAAUGCUAGGACACAGUAGGUACCAUAGUCUCAUCAUUUACAACAUUCUGGUUUUCUAUCUUUUUUCAGCUGGGAACAGCUUGCUCGUGGAUAAAGUUCUAAAUGAAUUGCAGGAGAAGGGAUUACUUCUUGAUGAAGUUACUUAUAAUUUUCUUGUAUAUGGGUUUUCGGAGUGUAAAGAUGUGUCUAGUUGUGUACAUUAUCUGUCUACUAUGAUUUCAAAGGGAUUUAGGCCAAGCUAUCGCAGCUUAAGAGCAGCAGUAACCUGCCUGUGUGAUCUUGGUGAAUUUAGUAGAGCCUUGGAGUUGAGUCGAGAAAUGGAAGUGAGAAAUUGGGUUCAUGGAUCAGUUGUUCAAAAUGUAAUUGUUGAAGGCCUUCUUUCUCUUGAUAAGCUUCAAGAAGCUAAAUGUUUUCUUGCCCAGAUGGUAGAUAAAGGUCUAAUUCCUGAUUCAAUCAAUUAUGAUAAUCUAAUUAAGCGGUUUUGUUUUUUGGGAAGACUGAGGAAGGCAGUUGAGCUUCUGAACAUAAUGUUGAAGAAAGGAAAUAUUCCUAAUUCUGCCAGUUAUGAUUCUGUAAUCCAUGGUCUCUGCAUAAAGAAUCAACUGAAUGAAGCACUGGAUUUUCACGCUGAGAUGUUGGAUAGGGAUCUUAAACCAAGUUUGAAGACAUGGGACAUGCUUAUCCACAAACUUUGCCAACUUGGACAAACUGCAGAAGCAGAAAACCUCCUCAUUUCUAUGGUUCAGUUGGGUGAAACUCCAACGAGACUAAUGUACUCCUCUGUAAUCAAUGGGUAUCGUGUUGAAAACACUCCGCGGAAGGCAUCUGAGCUCAUGCAAAUGAUGCAACAGAGUGGUUAUGAGCCAGAUUUUGACACUCACUGGUCUCUCAUAAGCAAUUUACAGAAGUCCAAAGACAAGUAUAGUAGUAACAGCAGUCAAGGUUUCCUGUCGAGACUUCUUUCUGGAAGUGGACUUUCUUAUGGAACUAGUAGUGACUCCAAGGUCAAGAUGGGGUAAUACAGAUAUAGUGCGAUAAAGAUAGGGCUUUUUAGCUUUCAUUAAUUGAUCUGUUACAUAACAUUUUCACUAACAUUUUAGAUGUAUUACAGUGUUGGCAGUUUCAGAACCAUGAUAAACGCCAAUUCUUUUGUACCAUCACAUGUAUAUGGCUGAAGUUUGUAACAGAAGUGAAGUUUAUUUUAGAAACUAGUCACUUGGGUUUUUAAAAUUUUCAAAUUAUUAUUGUAUAAAAUUAUGGAGUGUCAUUUUAUUUUUAUUAUAUUUUUAUUUCUUUUAUGUUUAUUGAUCCCACAAAAUUAUUAACACAUGAAAAGACUGGAAAAAGUAACAUUAGUUAAAUAGCGGUAGCUAUUAUUUGAGAAAAUUAUCCAAACAAUGAAUAGCACUUUAGUCUGAUAUUAAAAAUUUUUUAUAUAAUUUUUCACUAUUGAAUUGUUUUUCAAAUGAUACAUAAAUAGAAUGGGUGAGCAUGCACAUAAAAGACAGUUGAGCUAUUUCCAUUUUUUGUUGUCAAGGAGAUUCUUAGAGAAAAUGGAUGUGGUACACAUAAGAGACAUUGAGCUUUUUUUUAUCCCACUUUAGUAAGAUGUUAUGUUAAUUUUAGGAAA
This 4717-nucleotide unclassified non-coding RNA is filed under the name Hevea brasiliensis (rubber tree). Lineage: Eukaryota; Viridiplantae; Streptophyta; Magnoliopsida; Malpighiales; Euphorbiaceae. The record is from RNAcentral.